RNAcentral lists this ribosomal RNA (547 nucleotides) under Blastocystis sp. RNAcentral's name for it is "SSU rRNA". It matches the Rfam family "Eukaryotic small subunit ribosomal RNA", at positions 13 to 576 of the family's 1831-position model. Lineage: Eukaryota; Bigyra; Opalinata; Blastocystidae. The record is from RNAcentral.
CCUGCCAGUAGUCAUACGCUCGUCUCAAAGAUUAAGCCAUGCAUGUGUAAGUAUAAAUAGUUAACUUUGAAACUGCGAAUGGCUCAUUAUAUCAGUUAUAGUUUAUUUGAUGAAAAGUACUACUUGGAUAACCGUAGUAAUUCUAGAGCUAAUACAUGAGUAAAUCCUCGACUUUGAAGAGGUGUAUUUAUUAGAAUGAAACCAAUAGACUUCGGUCUGUUUGUGAGUAAUAAUAACUAAUCGUAUCGCAUGCUUAGGUAGCGAUAUGUCUUUCAAGUUUCUGCCCUAUCAGCUUUGGAUGGUAGUGUAUUGGACUACCAUGGCAGUAACGGGUAACGAAGAAUUUGGGUUCGAUUUCGGAGAGGGAGCCUGAGAGAUGGCUACCACAUCCAAGGAAGGCAGCAGGCGCGUAAAUUACCCAAUCCUGACAUAGGGAGGUAGUGACAAUAAAUCACAAUGCGGAACUAUUAGUUUUGCAAUUGGAUUGAGAACAAUGUACAAAUGUUAUCGAUAAACAAUUGGAGGGCAAGUCUGGUGCCAGCAGCCG